AUGCAGCGGCGCCUAAUGGUGACAGUUGUUAAAGCGGGGGAUCGCAAGACCUCGCGUCUGAAGAGGAGCCUGCGGCAGAUUAGCUAGUUGGUAAGGUAACGGCUUACCAAGGCGAUGAUCUGUAGCCGGCCUGAGAGGGCGGUCGGCCACACUGACACUGACAUACGGGUCAGACUCCUACGGGAGGCAGCAGUCGGGAAUUUUGGGCAAUGGGCGAAAGCCUGACCCAGCAACGCCGCGUGAAGGAUGAAAUCCCUCGGGAUGUAAACUUCGCAAGAACGGGAAGAAUAAGCCGGUGUCAACACCACCGGCGAUGACGGUACUGUUUGUAAGCUCCGGCUAACUCCGUGCCAGCAGCCGCGGUAAUACGGGGGGAGCAAGCGUUGUUCGGAUUUACUGGGCGUAAAGGGCGCGUAGGCGGCCACCGCAAGUCGACUGUGAAAUCUCUGGGCUUAACCCAGAACGGUCAGCCGAUACUGCGGGGCUAGAGUGCAGAAGGGGCAACUGGAAUUCUCGGUGUAGCGGUGAAAUGCGUAGAUAUCGAGAGGAACACCUGCGGCGAAGGCGGGUUGCUGGGCUGACACUGACGCUGAGGCGCG
This 599-nucleotide ribosomal RNA is filed under the name uncultured bacterium. RNAcentral describes it as "bacterial SSU rRNA". It matches the Rfam family "Bacterial small subunit ribosomal RNA", at positions 173 to 755 of the family's 1533-position model. The record is from RNAcentral.